This 458-nucleotide unclassified non-coding RNA is filed under the name Hevea brasiliensis (rubber tree). The record is from RNAcentral. Lineage: Eukaryota; Viridiplantae; Streptophyta; Magnoliopsida; Malpighiales; Euphorbiaceae.
CUUCGACACUUUUCCUCGCGACCCUUUUCGUGGCUCCUCGUUGGAGCAUUUGCUCCUCUCUGUAACCAAAAUAAAUACCCAUUUCCAAAUCGCUGAGCUGAAGGCCUUCUCCUAUAUUAAUCUUUCCCUCCCUCCUUUUGCGCUUCUUCUCUCUCUGUAAUCAUUGGCUAAUCAAUGGCCGCAUCUCAAGCCAGUCUCCUCCUCCAGAAGCAGCUCAAAGAUCUCUGUAAGAAACCAGUUGAUGGAUUCUCCGCGGGUUUGGUCGAUGAGAAUAAUGUAUUUGAAUGGAGUGUUUCAAUUAUGGGACCCCCUGAUACCUUAUACGAAGGUGGGUUCUUUAGUGCCAUCAUGAGCUUUCCACAGAACUAUCCCAUCAGUCCUCCAACUGUGAGGUUCACUACAGAGGUGUGGCAUCCAAAUGUUUACCCUGAUGGAAAGGUUUGCAUAUCAAUUCUUCA